AAAGGUAUAGCUCAGUGGCAGAGUGCAUGCUUAGCGUACAUGAAAGCCUGGCUUCAAUCCCCAGUACCUCCA
RNAcentral lists this transfer RNA (72 nucleotides) under Camelus bactrianus (Bactrian camel). It matches the Rfam family "tRNA". From Rfam's summary of the family: Transfer RNA (tRNA) molecules are approximately 80 nucleotides in length. Lineage: Eukaryota; Metazoa; Chordata; Mammalia; Artiodactyla; Camelidae. The record is from Rfam by way of RNAcentral. RNAcentral also lists the same sequence under 1 other name.